This 426-nucleotide ribosomal RNA is filed under the name uncultured bacterium. RNAcentral describes it as "bacterial SSU rRNA". It matches the Rfam family "Bacterial small subunit ribosomal RNA", at positions 28 to 457 of the family's 1533-position model. The record is from RNAcentral.
GAUGAACGCUAGCGGCAGGCUUAACACAUGCAAGUCGAGGGGUAUAGGGAGCUUGCUUCCUAGAGACCGGCGCACGGGUGCGUAACGCGUAUGCAAUCUACCUUUUGCAGAGGAUAGCCCAGAGAAAUUUGGAUUAAUACCUCAUAGUAUGUGAGAAUGGCAUCAUUUUCACAUUAAAGUCACAACGGCAAAAGAUGAGCAUGCGUCCCAUUAGCUUGUUGGUAAGGUAACGGCUUACCAAGGCAACGAUGGGUAGGGGUCCUGAGAGGGAGAUCCCCCACACUGGUACUGAGACACGGACCAGACUCCUACGGGAGGCAGCAGUGGGGAAUUUUGGACAAUGGGCGCAAGCCUGAUCCAGCAAUGCCGCGUGCAGGAUGAAGGCCCUUGGUUGUAAACUGUNUUUGUACGGUAACGAACGGUAGA